Molecule: long non-coding RNA, 1388 nt
Organism: Pan troglodytes (chimpanzee)
Lineage: Eukaryota; Metazoa; Chordata; Mammalia; Primates; Hominidae
Exons: 2
Source: RefSeq, a predicted model, not a curated record
AUUAAUCCUGGUUUUCAAGAGUAUUGGUUAAUGCACAUGAGCAAAAGAUUUACUAAAGAUGUUUAUUCUUCAGUUGAUUCUCUUGCCAUAAUCUAUUGAGAAAUGCUUUAUUUGCAUUUCUCGUUAAAGACUUAACAUUGAAGACUUAACUUUAGGGUGAUUUACUUUUUUCUUUUCAUCACAUAGUGUUUAUUAGGACUGGGCAACAUAGUGAGACUCUGUUUCUAUGAAAAAUUCAAAAAAAAAAUUGACUGGGCAUGGUGGCAUCCACUUGUAGUUCCAGCUACUUGGGAAGCUGAAGUGGGAGAUUCACUUGAGCCCAGAAACUUGAGGCUGCAGUGAGCUAUGAUUACGCCACUGUAUUUCAGACUGGGAGACAGAGUAAGACCCUGUCUGGAAAAAUAUAUAAACAUAUAUAUUUUUUAUUUUUAUUUUUUAUUUUUAUCUUUUUUUGAGAUGGAGUCUCACUUUGGCGCCCUGGCUGGAGUGCAGUGGCACGAUCUCGAUUCACUGCAACCUCCACCUUGCGAGUUUAAGCGAUUCACCUGCCUCAGCCUUCUGAAUAGCUGGGAUUACAGGCGCGCACCACCACACCUGGCUCAUUUUUGUAUUUUUAGCAGAGACAGGGUUUCACCAUGUUGUCCAGGCUGGCCAGGCUGGUCUCGAAUUCCUGACCUCAGGUGAUCCACCCACCUCGGCCUCUCAAAGUGCUGGGAUUAUAGGCGUGAGCCACCAUGCCUGCCUUAUGUACUUAUAUUUUAAUGAGACUAUUUCUCUCGGUUUUCUGAUAAAUGAGUUACUGGAACCCUUAUGAAUCUGAAUGCAAAAGAAACAGCUAAAUGUUAUGUAAUUGUUGUGUUUAAAAACCAGAUUAUAAAACUAUCUGUAUUAUAUGAUUACAGUUUUAUAAAAAGAAAACAACGGCCUAAAUGUGUAUAGUAUAAAGGCUGGAAGAGUCAGCACUUUCAUGUUCUCAGCGGUUAUCCUUGGAUGUGAGAUCUCAUGCACUUUUUGCUCUCUUCUUUGUGCCUUUCCAUUUUGGAUGUGUAUUUUUUACAAUCUAAAAAGUUACUUAAACAUAUGCAGCUAAAAACUUUUUUUACUCGUAAAGCGUUUGGUGCUAAUUUUAACUGUUCUUUUUUUAGACAGAGUCUUCUCACUCUGUCGCCCAGGCUGGAGUGCAGUGGUGUGAUCUUGGCUCACUGCAACCUCUACCUCCUGGGUUCAAGUGAUUCUCCUGCCUCAGUCUCCCAAGUAGCUGGGAUUAUAGACGUGCCUGCUUCCCCUUCGCCUUCUGCCGUGAUUGUCAGUUUCCUGAGGCCUCCCCAGCCAUGCUUCCUGUACAGCCUGCAGAACUGUGAGUCAAUUAAACCUCUUUUCUUCAUAAA